UGUCGAUCUCCGAUGGUAAAAGAAGCGCACCUUCAGCAAAGUCUUUCAUUACAACCAGGCUUUUCUCUAUGUCCUCCCUGUCACCGUCAGGCAAAAGCAUGUCAUAAACGGUUUCAUGAAAUCCGGUAUGGGCAUUUGCAUCCGGUCCAAACUGCAUCCCGAUACUCUGGAAAUAUUUUACCAGUUCACCGGGCUUAAAAUUUGUAGAACCGUUAAAAAGCAUGUGCUCAAGAAAAUGGGCUAAUCCCUGUUGAUUGUCUGACUCAUGCAUUGAACCUGCUUGAAUAUCCAGGUGCAUACUAACCCUGUCUUUGGGU
RNAcentral lists this ribosomal RNA (317 nucleotides) under uncultured eukaryote. RNAcentral describes it as "partial small subunit ribosomal RNA". The record is from RNAcentral.